This 1510-nucleotide ribosomal RNA is filed under the name Bacteriophage sp. Its description in RNAcentral is "bacterial SSU rRNA". It matches the Rfam family "Bacterial small subunit ribosomal RNA". The record is from RNAcentral.
GAACGCUGGCGGCGUGCCUAAUACAUGCAAGUCGAACGCACAGCGAAAGGUGCUUGCACCUUUCAAGUGAGUGGCGAACGGGUGAGUAACACGUGGACAACCUGCCUCAAGGCUGGGGAUAACAUUUGGAAACAGAUGCUAAUACCGAAUGAAACUUAGUGUCGCAUGAUACGAAGUUAAAAGGCGCUUUGGCGUCACCUAGAGAUGGAUCCGCGGUGCAUUAGUUAGUUGGUGGGGUAAAGGCCUACCAAGACAAUGAUGCAUAGCCGAGUUGAGAGACUGAUCGGCCACAUUGGGACUGAGACACGGCCCAAACUCCUACGGGAGGCUGCAGUAGGGAAUCUUCCACAAUGGGCGAAAGCCUGAUGGAGCAACGCCGCGUGUGUGAUGAAGGCUUUCGGGUCGUAAAGCACUGUUGUAUGGUGAAGAACAGAUAGAGGUAGUAACUGGCCUUUAUUUGACGGUAAUCAACCAGAAAGUCACGGCUAACUACGUGCCAGCAGCCGCGGUAAUACGUAGGUGGCAAGCGUUGUCCGGAUUUAUUGGGCGUAAAGCGAGCGCAGGCGGAAAAAGAAGUCUGAUGUGAAAGCCCUCGGCUCAACCGAGGGAUUGCAUCGGAAACUGAUUUUCUUGAGUGCAGAAGAGGAGAGUGGAACUCCAUGUGUAGCGGUGGAAUGCGUAGAUAUAUGGAAGAACACCAGUGGCGAAAGCGGCUCACUGGUCUGUAACUGACGCUGAGGCUCGAAAGCAUGGGUAGCAAACAGGAUUAGAUACCCUGGUAGUCCACACUGUAAACGAUGAAUACUAAGUGUUGGGAGGUUUCCGCCUCUCAGUGCUGCAGCUAACGCAUUAAGCACUCCGCCUGGGGAGUACGACCGCAAGGUUGAAACUCAAAGGAAUUGACGGGGACCCGCACAAGCGGUGGAGCAUGUGGUUUAAUUCGAAGCAACGCGAAGAACCUUACCAGGUCUUGACAUCCUUUGAAGCUUUUAGAGAUAGAAGUGUUCUCUUCGGAGACAAAGUGACAGGUGGUGCAUGGUCGUCGUCAGCUCGUGUCGUGAGAUGUUGGGUUAAGUCCCGCAACGAGCGCAACCCUUAUUGUUAGUUGCCAGCAUUCAGAUGGGCACUCUAGCGAGACUGCCGGUGACAAACCGGAGGAAGGCGGGGACGACGUCAGAUCAUCAUGCCCCUUAUGACCUGGGCUACACACGUGCUACAAUGGCGUAUACAACGAGUUGCCAACCCGCGAGGGUGAGCUAAUCUCUUAAAGUACGUCUCAGUUCGGAUUGUAGUCUGCAACUCGACUACAUGAAGUCGGAAUCGCUAGUAAUCGCGGAUCAGCACGCCGCGGUGAAUACGUUCCCGGGUCUUGUACACACCGCCCGUCACACCAUGGGAGUUUGUAAUGCCCAAAGCCGGUGGCCUAACCUUUUAGGAAGGAGCCGUCUAAGGCAGGACAGAUGACUGGGGUGAAGUCGUAACAAGGUAGCCGUAGGAGAACCUGCGGCUG